Molecule: ribosomal RNA, 203 nt
Filed under: uncultured bacterium
Lineage: Bacteria
Description: partial 16S ribosomal RNA
Rfam family: Bacterial small subunit ribosomal RNA
Source: RNAcentral
GAUCCUGGCUCAGGACGAACGCUGGCGGCGCGCCUAACACAUGCAAGUCGAACGAGCCGAGGAGAGCUUGCUCCCCAGAGCUAGUGGCGGACGGGUGAGUAACACGUGAGCAACCUGCCUUUCAGAGGGGGGAUAACGUUUGGAAACGAACGCUAAUACCGCAUAACAUACCGGGACCGCAUGAUUCUGGUAUCAAAGGGNGA